RNAcentral lists this long non-coding RNA (794 nucleotides) under Zea mays. RNAcentral's name for it is "long non-coding RNA (ZMAY_LNC001746)". The record is from RNAcentral. Lineage: Eukaryota; Viridiplantae; Streptophyta; Magnoliopsida; Poales; Poaceae.
GAUGAGCAAGUCGAGCUCGAGCGGCGUCGUGGCGGAGGCGCAUCAGUGCGUGAACGCGCGCGCGGAUGACUUCAUCAACAAGUUCAGGCAGCAGCUACAGCUGCAGCACUGAACUCGCUGCUCAACUACAAGGAGGUGCUCGACCGCGGCGGUGGCAAGCAGUAGCCGCAGCGUGCAAGGCGGAGGGAGAAAGGUAGCUAGCUGUAGGAUCCAAUCCAAAACCAUACUGCAAAAAAAUCGAUCUUUGGUCCAUCAACCAGUAGACCUCGAGUAUGGAUUAUGCAGUGUUGUUCUUAUUAGCACAGUUAUGUAAGAAUCGCUAUUUUUCAGCUUGUUAAUUUCAAUUGGUUUGUGGUGCUGGCAUUUGAGACCUCGCGCAGGCAAAGAGUGGCCUGCGGCAGCCUGGGCACUGGGUGAGGUCUGGCGCCGGGGCUCCGACCAACAGCGUGCAGCCAGCCGAGCCGUGAAGCCAGGGGAAGGGAUGGAGAAAGGAGGAAAUAUUAGGAGGAAAGGGUGAGGAAGGUGGAGAGCUGCUGUUGGCCGUGAUCCCCGCUAUGCGACUACUCUCACACAACAGGCAGUUUGCUCGUCGCUGGAUAAAUCGCGACGAUUCCCGAGUAUGCUCACGAGAGGGUAAACAUCUCUCUCACAGCUGCUGGGGUGGCGCUAUCCAUGGUGAAGAGGGUGUCCACCGCUAUGGCGGAGCGGCUGGCACUCCCAACAGGUACGAGCCAUUCUCUUCCUGCAUUAUUUUUCUUAUUUUUUUGUUUCUGUUUAUGCUGCAAGAAUACAUG